Molecule: long non-coding RNA, 652 nt
Organism: Ictalurus punctatus (channel catfish)
Lineage: Eukaryota; Metazoa; Chordata; Actinopteri; Siluriformes; Ictaluridae
Source: Ensembl
AUAGGAGGAGGAGGAGGAGCAGUAGUAAUAAUAGUAGUAGUAAUAGGAGGAGGAGGAGGAGUAAUAGUGGUAAUAAUAGUAGUAGUAAUAGGAGUAGAGGAGGAGGAGGAGGAAUAGUGGUAAUAAUAGUAGUAGUAAUAGGAGGAGGAGGAGGAGGAAUAGUGGUAAUAGUAGUAGUAAUAGGAGGAGGAGGAGGAAUAGUGGUAAUAAUAGUAGUAGUAAUAGGAGGAGGAGGAGGAGUAAUAGUAGUAGUAAUAGGAGGAGAGGAGGAGUAAUAGUAGUAAUAAUAGUAGUAAUAGGAGGAGGAGGAGUAAUAGUGGUAAUAGUAGUAGUAGUAAUAGGAGGAGGAGGAGGAGGAGUAAUAGUGGUAAUAAUAGUAGUAGUAAUAGGAGGAGGAGGAGUAAUAGUGGUAAUAAUAGUAGUAAUAGGAGGAGGAGGAGGAGGAGUAAUAGGAGGAGGAGGAGGAAUAGUGGUAAUAAUAGUAGUAGUAAUAGGAGGAGGAGGAAUAGUGGUAAUAGUCGGAGGAGGAGGAGAAUAGUGGUAAUAGUAGUAGUAGGAGGAGGAGGAAUAGUGGUAAUAGUAGUAGUAGGAGGAGGAGGAAUAGUGGUAAUAGUAGUAAGUAGAAUAGGAGGAGGAGGAAUAGUGGUAAUAG